AUGGAGUGGGAACCGGAGCAACAGGAUCUCGGAGGCCUCGGGCUCGCGGGCAUCUGUCGCGAGAUCUACCGGGCGGUCUUCCGCUCCAUCCUCCCGUACGCGGCAGCCGGCGUGGAAGCCGCGCUUCUCUCUGCGCUUUUGCUCGCGCACGUCGCCGCCUUGCGCGGCCUCAGCUCCCUCCUCGAGGCCGACGACGGUUUCCACCUCGUCGGUUUCCUUGCCGGGUUACUCUUCGAGGUCGUCUCGAUAAUCGUCCUCGACUUCUUCUCGCUCGUCUGCACCGCCGUCUACGUCUUCCUCAUCGCCUCCCUCUACUGUACCCAGGGCGACUUCCGCGCUUCUCGGAGACUCCAGCGGCACCUCCCCCGUGUCCCCCUCACGCGGCUCAUCCCUACCUUCUUAUUCGCACUCGCGCUUGCCUAUAUCAUAUUGGUCUUCUCCGUCGUCGCCUUGCUCCUGCUCCAUUACGAGGUCGGCCUACCGCUGCAGCUGAUGGGCGCAGCCGCUUGCCUCGCCGGAGCGGCCUACGUCGCCCCGGUUUUCCACCUUGCCUGCGUCGCGUCGGUGCUCGAGGACGCCGUCCUCUUGGCCGCUGUGCGCAAGAGCCGCGCGCUCCUCGCCGGCAAGUUCUGGCCCGCGGCGGCCGUCUUCCUCACGCUCGACGGCUGCUUCGUCGCCCUGCAGCUGGCCUUCGCGCGGCUGGUGCUGGGCGACGCGCUGGGCCUCGGCCUCGGGAUCCAGGUAGCCGCGGGAGUGGCGACGUUCGUGGCUCUGUGGGUGGUGGUGCUGCUGACGCCGGCGGCGCAGCCGGUGAUCUACAUGGUGUGCAAGAACCACCACCACGAGGUGGUCGACAAGGUCCACCUCGACUACAUCGGAGAGUAUGAGCGGCUCGCCGUCGACGGCGACAACGGCGUGGAGCUGCAACCGGUGACGACGGAGCAGAUUCCUGAAACUAGUGCCGCGUCUUGCAUGUCGACGACUCCACAACGGUAG
RNAcentral lists this ribosomal RNA (996 nucleotides) under Triticum aestivum (bread wheat). RNAcentral describes it as "partial small subunit ribosomal RNA". Lineage: Eukaryota; Viridiplantae; Streptophyta; Magnoliopsida; Poales; Poaceae. The record is from RNAcentral.